This 133-nucleotide long non-coding RNA is filed under the name Homo sapiens (human). RNAcentral's name for it is "HSALNT0340607". Lineage: Eukaryota; Metazoa; Chordata; Mammalia; Primates; Hominidae. The record is from RNAcentral.
GCUUCUGAGACUUGUUUGGGGAGGUUAAAAUUUGGAGGAUAACUCCCAGCUAGAAAGGAAGAAAAGCUCUAAAGUGGAAUCGCCUUCCCCCGGAAGCUGUUGUAAAAAUUAAAGGAUGUAUGUGAGUGCACAG